RNAcentral lists this ribosomal RNA (244 nucleotides) under uncultured bacterium. RNAcentral describes it as "partial small subunit ribosomal RNA". It matches the Rfam family "Bacterial small subunit ribosomal RNA", at positions 26 to 285 of the family's 1533-position model. The record is from RNAcentral.
AGAAUCAACGCUGGCGGCGUGCCUAACACAUGCAAGUCGAACGAGAAAGUGGAGCAAUCCAUGAGUAAAGUGGCGACCGGGUGAGUAACACGUGACUACCUACCCUUGAGUGGGGGAUAACCUCGGGAAACCGAGGCUAAUACCGCAUAAUAUCGAAAGAUCAAAGGAGCAAUUCGCUUAAGGAGGGGGUCGCGGCAGAUUAGCUAGUUGGCGGGGUAAUGGCCCACCAAGGCAGUGAUCUGUA